UGGGCGAUCCACUUACAUUUCACACCCCCCCAAACUGGUGAAGUGGAAAUGGCCAGCGAAGGAAAGGAAGCCAAGCCCAGCCUGCCACAGUUUGCAGAGAGGGAGCCCGGAAGAGGAGCCGCGCAUCAGAGCAUUGUGUUGGCGCACCACACGCAGUGCCGCCAUGGCCUGUGCCUGCUGCACUUGACUAACCAAAUCCUCCUGAUCUGCAGCGCUUGUUGUAUCCGACCGAUUGUCACACUUGCACACCGUGACGCCACCCAGCCGACAGGCAUUCACCUCUCCACCAGGCACCUUCAUUGAAUAUAAGUGAGCAUUUUGAACUCUUGCCCUAGUCCAGUUUUGUGAACAAUCAGAAUACUGCUAAAGGGGGAAGAGAUACAGAUGAAAUAAAUCCAGUAACACACAGAUUUCACCUGGAUUAACCUAGAGAAUUUGUUUUAAAGACAGACCAGAUGUCCUUAUUGUUUUGUACACGGAGCACUUUGUAGGAACUGAAGAACAGUAUUUGAUCUUCAAGAAAAACGGUCAUCCCUUUAAUCUACAUAAAAACUUUUUUCGCGUAGAGAAAAAAAAUAAUUCUAACCAAAUUUCCAUUAUACUUUAAACAAAAAUUUCCAUACAACAAGCCAGUUGAUUAACAAACCUGGAGGAAAACUGUCCCCUGUUACAUUGUCAAGCCCUGGAGAUAAGGAAAGUGCUUUCACUUGCAUUUACAUUUAAAAAUUGACCUUAAAAAACACAGAAAAUGUUAACUAAAAGUAUGUUGGAAAGUUGCUUAGAAUUAUAAUUUUUUUGUUUUUUUUAUUUUGGUUGGAGGGCCCCUUCAAUAAACAGAAUGAUGUAUGCAGAGAAUAUAAAAGGAACAUAUUUUAUGUUUACAGAUACUGUAUACAAAGACAGAAAUGGCUGCAAGAAAUUAAUGAGUUAUAUACUCACGGCUGCC
This is a long non-coding RNA of Xenopus laevis (African clawed frog), 946 nucleotides long. RefSeq lists it as uncharacterized. The record is from RefSeq and is a predicted model, not a curated record. NCBI's taxonomy places the organism in Eukaryota, Metazoa, Chordata, Amphibia, Anura, Pipidae. The transcript has 3 exons.